This 85-nucleotide microRNA precursor is filed under the name Solanum lycopersicum (tomato). RNAcentral's name for it is "MIR8024 microRNA precursor family". It matches the Rfam family "MIR8024 microRNA precursor family". Lineage: Eukaryota; Viridiplantae; Streptophyta; Magnoliopsida; Solanales; Solanaceae. The record is from Rfam by way of RNAcentral.
UUGCAAGAUUUGAUGACUUCAUCUUGCGUACUUUGAGGAUUUGGAGACUUCAGCUUGAUACUUGGAGGAUUUGAAAACUUCAAUU